GACGAACGCUGGCGGCGUGCUUAACACAUGCCAGUCGAACGGAAAGGCCCUGCUUUUGUGGGAUGCUCGAGUGGCGAACGGGUGAGUAACACGUGAGUAACCUGCCCUUGACUUUGGGAUAACUUCAGGAAACUGGGGCUAAUACCGGAUAGGAGCUCCUGCUGCAUGGUGGGGGUUGGAAAGUUUCGGCGGUUGGGGAUGGACUCGCGGCUUAUCAGCUUGUUGGUGGGGUAGUGGCUUACCAAGGCAUUGACGGGUAGCCGGCCUGAGAGGGUGACCGGCCACAUUGGGACUGAGAGACGGCCCAGACUCCUACGGGAGGCAGCAGUGGGGAAUAUUGCACAAUGGGCGGAAGCCUGAUGCAGCAACGCCGCGUGCGGGAUGACGGCCUUCGGGUUGUAAACCGCUUUCGCCUGUGACGAAGCGUGAGUGACGGUAAUGGGUAAAGAAGCACCGGCUAACUACGUG
Molecule: ribosomal RNA, 468 nt
Filed under: uncultured bacterium
Lineage: Bacteria
Description: partial 16S ribosomal RNA
Rfam family: Bacterial small subunit ribosomal RNA
Source: RNAcentral